UCAAACCCGAUGAUGGGAAAGGUAGCCAGUUAAUUUCUCAAAGAGAGCCGGUGGAUGGUGUAAAUCGGCAGAAAUACUGGUGAAAGGCGUCCCGAAGGGGGUUCCGCAGAACGAGAGUAUGCGGGCACGGUUGUGCCGUUACCACUGGUGAGGGGGAAGGAUUUAUCCUUCCAAAAAGGGUGGCACCGCGGGAGAAUUAACCUCUCGUCCCUGUA
RNAcentral lists this non-coding RNA (215 nucleotides) under Peptococcaceae bacterium. RNAcentral describes it as "T-box sequence". It matches the Rfam family "T-box leader". From Rfam's summary of the family: Uncharged tRNA acts as the effector for transcription antitermination of genes in the T-box leader family. Lineage: Bacteria; Bacillati; Bacillota; Clostridia; Eubacteriales; Peptococcaceae. The record is from RNAcentral.